Molecule: transfer RNA, 86 nt
Filed under: Candidatus Woesearchaeota archaeon
Lineage: Archaea; Nanobdellati; Candidatus Woesearchaeota
Description: tRNA-Val
Rfam family: tRNA
About the family: Transfer RNA (tRNA) molecules are approximately 80 nucleotides in length.
Source: RNAcentral
GCCGGCGAUGGGGCAACCUGGUUGCCCUGCCACACUGACCCUGUGGUGUCCUAACGGACUUGCGGGUUCAAAUCCCGCCGCCGGCG